CCUACGGGAGGCAGCAGUGGGGAAUAUUGGGCAAUGGGCGCAAGCCUGACCCAGCAACGCCGCGUGAAGGAAGAAGGCUUUCGGGUUGUAAACUUCUUUUCUCAGGGACGAAGCAAGUGACGGUACCUGAGGAAUCAGCCGCGGCUAACUACGUGCCAGCCGCCGCGGUAAUACGUGGGUGGCAAGCGUUAUCCGGAUUUACUGGGUGUAAAGGGGGUGUAGGCGGGACUGCAAGUCAGAUGUGAAAACCAUGGGCUCAACCUAUGGCCUGCAUUUGAAACUGUAGUUCUUGAGUACUGGAGAGGCAGACAGAAUUCCUAGUGUAGCGGUGAAAUGCGUAGAUAUUAGGAGGAACACCAGUGGCGAAGGCGGUCUGCUGGACAGCAACUGACGCUGAGGCGCGAAAGCGUGGGGAGCAAACAGGAUUAGAUACCCCUGUAGUC
Molecule: ribosomal RNA, 443 nt
Filed under: uncultured bacterium
Lineage: Bacteria
Description: partial 16S ribosomal RNA
Rfam family: Bacterial small subunit ribosomal RNA
Source: RNAcentral